This is a non-coding RNA of Vicia faba (fava bean), 228 nucleotides long. NCBI's taxonomy places the organism in Eukaryota, Viridiplantae, Streptophyta, Magnoliopsida, Fabales, Fabaceae. The record is from the annotation of a GenBank genome assembly.
AUGCAAAAUAUGAACUCUCAUUCUUGGAUAACGUACAAAAACACGAUUGUCUCAACGGUUGAUCUACAACUACGGUUGUCAACACUUCUUGUUGGGCAAAUAAGAGAUAGUUAUAACCGUCUCCACUAUAUAUGUGUGACUCUAUGUCACAACCAGGUAUGUUUUUACUUAUUUAUGAAGUUACAUCUCAUUUAUAACGUACAAAAACACGAUCGUCUCAACGGUUGA